GGAGGAAAGUAGGGGAUCGCAAGACCUCGCGCUAAAGGAGCGGCCGAUGUCUGAUUAGCUAGUUGGUGGGGUAAAGGCUUACCAAGGCAACGAUCAGUAGUUGGUCUGAGAGGACGGCCAACCACACUGGGACUGAGACACGGCCCAGACUCCUACGGGAGGCAGCAGUGGGGAAUUUUGGACAAUGGGCGAAAGCCUGAUCCAGCCAUGCCGCGUGAGUGAAGAAGGCCUUCGGGUUGUAAAGCUCUUUUAGUCGGAAAGAAAGAGUUGCAAUGAAUAAUUGUGAUUUAUGACGGUACCGACAGAAAAAGCACCGGCUAACUACGUGCCAGCAGCCGCGGUAAUACGUAGGGUGCGAGCGUUAAUCGGAAUUACUGGGCGUAAAGGGUGCGCAGGCGGUCUUGCAAGUCAGAUGUGAAAGCCCCGGGCUUAACCUGGGAAUUGCGUUUGAAACUACAAAGCUAG
This 465-nucleotide ribosomal RNA is filed under the name uncultured ammonia-oxidizing bacterium. Its description in RNAcentral is "bacterial SSU rRNA". It matches the Rfam family "Bacterial small subunit ribosomal RNA", at positions 198 to 644 of the family's 1533-position model. The record is from RNAcentral.